UCUAAUAUGGCAGAUUAGUGCACUGGAUUUAAACCCCAAAAAUAAAAUAAAUUAUUUUUUUUAGAA
RNAcentral lists this transfer RNA (66 nucleotides) under Lypnea pubipennis. RNAcentral's name for it is "tRNA-Leu". The record is from RNAcentral. Lineage: Eukaryota; Metazoa; Arthropoda; Insecta; Coleoptera; Chrysomelidae.